RNAcentral lists this ribosomal RNA (492 nucleotides) under uncultured bacterium. Its description in RNAcentral is "partial 16S ribosomal RNA". It matches the Rfam family "Bacterial small subunit ribosomal RNA", at positions 29 to 507 of the family's 1533-position model. The record is from RNAcentral.
AGUGAACGCUGGCGGUAGACCUAACACAUGCAAGUCGAACGGCAGCACAGUAAGAGCUUGCUCUUACGGGUGGCGAGUGGCGGACGGGUGAGGAAUACAUCGGAAUCUACUUUUUCGUGGGGGAUAACGUAGGGAAACUUACGCUAAUACCGCAUACGACCUACGGGUGAAAGCAGGGGAUCUUCGGACCUUGCGCGAUUGAAUGAGCCGAUGUCGGAUUAGCUAGUUGGUGGGGUAAAGGCCCACCAAGGCGACGAUCCGUAGCUGGUCUGAGAGGAUGAUCAGCCACACUGGAACUGAGACACGGUCCAGACUCCUACGGGAGGCAGCAGUGGGGAAUAUUGGACAAUGGGCGCAAGCCUGGUCCAGCCAUACCGCGUGGGUGAAGAAGGCCUUCGGGUUGUAAAGCCCUUUUGUUGGGAAAGAAAAGCAGCAGGUUAAUACCCCGCUGUUCUGACGGUACCCAAAGAAUAAGCACCGGCUAACUUCGUG